This is a long non-coding RNA of Sarcophilus harrisii (Tasmanian devil), 326 nucleotides long. RefSeq lists it as uncharacterized. NCBI's taxonomy places the organism in Eukaryota, Metazoa, Chordata, Mammalia, Dasyuromorphia, Dasyuridae. The transcript has 2 exons. The record is from RefSeq and is a predicted model, not a curated record.
UCGUUAGCGUCAUCAGGCUUUAGCUCGCUUACUAGGUCUUCAGAGUCUAUGAUACUGCAAGAUAUAGGAAUGUGCAAAACAACGCAAGGGAAGGAUAGAAAACCUAACAGAAUUAAAAGAUAUAGGAAAAGGAAGAAAAUGAAAGACUGGAUACAAAGAAAACUGAAGCACAUACCUCCAUCUAUAUACAAAUCAGUUUUAUGUUGCAGGACUUUGCAGAGGUAUGUCUUUGUGCUCAUAAAUAUUUCACAGGUAAAUUUGUACCUUGCCAGUUAAAAGACUGUUGCAUACUGAUGUCUCAGGUGUGUUGAAAUGGCCUUAAAAAU